CCUACGGGAGGCAGCAGUGGGGAAUAUUGCACAAUGGGGGAAACCCUGAUGCAGCGACGCCGCGUGAGCGAAGAAGUAUUUCGGAAUGUAAAGCUCUAUCAGCAGGGAAGAACAUGACGGUACCUGACUACGAAGCACCGGCUAAAUACGUGCCAGAAGCCGCGGUAAUACGUAGGGAGAAAGCGUUAUCCGGAUUUACUGGGUGUAAAGGGAGCGUAGGCGGUAAGGCAAGUCUCAUGUGAAAGGCCAGGGCUCAACCCUGGGACUGAAUUGGAAACUGUUUAACUGGAGUGUCGGAGAGGCUAGUGGAAUUCCUGGUGUAGCAGUGAAAUGCGUAGAUAUUAGGAGGAACACCAGUGGCGAAGGCGGCUAGCUGGACGAUGACUGACGCUGAGGCGCGAAAGCGUGGGGAGCAAACAGGAUUAGAUACCCGAGUAGUC
Molecule: ribosomal RNA, 440 nt
Filed under: uncultured bacterium
Lineage: Bacteria
Description: partial 16S ribosomal RNA
Rfam family: Bacterial small subunit ribosomal RNA
Source: RNAcentral